Molecule: unclassified non-coding RNA, 910 nt
Filed under: Hevea brasiliensis (rubber tree)
Lineage: Eukaryota; Viridiplantae; Streptophyta; Magnoliopsida; Malpighiales; Euphorbiaceae
Source: RNAcentral
GAGAUAGACGGUUAAGAUUUCGCCAAUAUUGAUUGUAAUUCCAGGGAAUAACAACCCAACCAUCAGCGAUCACUCCCCAUUUCUCUCCACACUGGAAAGAACGCAGCGAGAGAGCUCCCCGAGAAGAAGAUCGAAAAAGUUCAGAAGAAGUGAUCUACGGAGAGAUUCACCUUAGCAAUGUUUCUUCGGGUGAUUGGACGGCCAUUGAUGGCCAAGGUGAAGCAGACAACGGGGAUUGUGGGUCUUGAUGUGGUCCCGAACGCUAGGCAGGUAUUGAUCAAUCUGUACACCAAAACCCUAAAGGAGAUUCAGGCGGUCCCUGAGGACGAAGGGUACCGUAAGGCGGUGGAGAGCUUCACGAUGCAUAGGUUAAAGGUAUGCCAAGAGGAAGAGGAUUGGGAAAUGAUCGAGAAAAAAAUGGGUUGCGGCCAGGUCGAGGAGCUCAUCGAGGAGGCCCAGGACGAGCUCAAGCUCAUCGAGAAAAUGAUCGAGUGGGAUCCUUGGGGUGUUCCUGAUGACUAUGAGUGCGAAGUUAUAGAAAAUGAUGCGCCAGUUCCGAAGCAUGUUCCUUUGCAUCGACCUGGUCCUGUUCCUGAGGAGUUCUACAAGACAUUGGAGGCUGUGCAGUCCAAAAAUGGCGCACCUGCAGUCACCUCUGUUUAGUCAAGAGUUAAAGGAGUAACUCUUGGGGUACACUCAAUUUGAGGAACAUUGAGUUUCAGAGUUCGAUCGAUCUCUUUGUUUUUGGUUUAUUGUUUUUGUUCACUUGUAAUUCCUAUUUACCAGAUUGAAUAGCCAAAACCAUUCAGUGAAUAAUCCAGACUUGAUCAGAUGUUACCGAAAGUUUAUUUAUCAAAUCUCAUUCUUGCUUUCCUGUUAAAAUAACUUGCGAAGAAAAAUAAGAAGUCGG